ACUGACUCAGCCAGGAGCAGCUCCAACUGGAACGCCAGGGCAGAGGGGAAAACAGCAGGGAGGUGAGAGACACUCCUCCAGCACUAUUCAGCACUUCCAUUUUUCAUCAGCCAAGCACUCUGCUUUCUCCCCUUGCAGUGAACUCUUGGGUGCCAGUGAAGUCAGAGGGAUCUGUGCCUGUGGCCUCAGUGGGGAACAGGAUUUGGCCUGAAGCUGCAAAACUGCCACCUGAAAUUUUAACCAAAGAGAAGGAGAAAUUAAGACAGGGGAGCGUCCAUAACAAGGUGGCUUUGCCCUUCUGCAGUGCUCCCUGUACUGGAGGUCCUACCUGAUGGGUGUAGGAAGGCACAAGAGAACCUGUCCACAGUUCAGCUGAGUCAAAUUUAGGCCUGACUGUGAGGACUUGGUGAAAGCCAGGAGAAAAAGACCUGGAGGAAGAACAGGUCAUGAUCAAGAGUCUACUGUCAGUCCUCAGACAUUUCUGUGAGCUUCAAUGGAGGUUAAAUGCCCUGUGCAGAUACACCUUUCUAUAGAUGUUUCUUACAGUAAAAUACUUUUAAAAUUAAAAAAGAAAAAUAUUGCCCUGAAGAAAAUAACCCUUA
Long non-coding RNA from Passer montanus (Eurasian tree sparrow), 602 nucleotides. RefSeq lists it as uncharacterized. The record is from RefSeq and is a predicted model, not a curated record. NCBI's taxonomy places the organism in Eukaryota, Metazoa, Chordata, Aves, Passeriformes, Passeridae. The transcript has 3 exons.